CCUACGGGAGGCAGCAGUGGGGAAUAUUGCACAAUGGGGGAAACCCUGAUGCAGCGACGCCGCGUGAGUGAAGAAGUAAUUCGUUAUGUAAAGCUCUAUCAGCAGGGAAGAAAAUGACGGUACCUGAGUAAGACGCCCCGGCUAACUACGUGCCAGCCGCCGCGGUAAUACGUAGGGGGCAAGCGUUAUCCGGAUUUACUGGGUGUAACGGGAGCGUAGACGGCAGUGCAAGUCUGGAGUGAAAGGCGGGGGCUCAACCCCCGGACUGCUCUGGAAACUGUACGGCUGGAGUGCAGGAGAGGUAAGUGGAAUUCCUAGUGUAGCGGUGAAAUGCGUAGAUAUUAGGAGGAACACCAGUGGCGAAGGCGGCUUACUGGACUGUAACUGACGUUGAGGCUCGAAAGCGUGGGGAGCAAACAGGAUUAGAUACCCCAGUAGUC
Molecule: ribosomal RNA, 440 nt
Filed under: uncultured bacterium
Lineage: Bacteria
Description: partial 16S ribosomal RNA
Rfam family: Bacterial small subunit ribosomal RNA
Source: RNAcentral